UACAGAGGUCCCAAGCGUUGUUCGGAUUUACUGGGCGUAAAGGGUGCGUAGGUGGUCGGGUAAGUCUCAUGUGAAAUCUCCAAGCUUAACUUGGAAAUGGCAUGGGAUACUAUUCGGCUAGAGGAUUGGAGGGGGGACUGGAAUUUCCGGUGUAGCGGUGAAAUGCGUAGAUAUCGGAAGGAACAUCAGUGGCGAAGGCGACUUCCUGGACCAAUACUGACGCUCAGGUGCGAAAGCGUGGGGAGCAAACAGG
This 253-nucleotide ribosomal RNA is filed under the name uncultured bacterium. RNAcentral describes it as "partial 16S ribosomal RNA". It matches the Rfam family "Bacterial small subunit ribosomal RNA", at positions 524 to 776 of the family's 1533-position model. The record is from RNAcentral.